This is an RNA transcript of Cercocebus atys (sooty mangabey), 3963 nucleotides long. It is a transcript of the gene named zinc finger protein 433, with no coding region annotated. The record is from RefSeq and is a predicted model, not a curated record. NCBI's taxonomy places the organism in Eukaryota, Metazoa, Chordata, Mammalia, Primates, Cercopithecidae. The transcript has 4 exons.
UGAGACCAAGUCUCACUCUGUUGCCCAGGCUGGAAUGCAGUGGCAUGAGCUCAUGAGUUUUUGUUUUAGUUAUCUAUGAUUCAUCAUUUAGAUUGAUAAGACCCCUUGUAAAAUCCAGUUUUUUGGUUUUUGUUUCUGCUGCAGGAAUCAGAACAAAACUCACUUUCUAGAUAACAUCAAAGGUUAAACUUUGUGCAUAGGCUUUUUUUUUCAAGGAUAUGCAGCCUCAGGACUGUUAAUGUUAACUUUUUCUGCACAGGAAUUUGGAGGACUUUUAUGGCAGGUGCUGUACUCCCACUUUACAAACAAACAUUGGGGCAGCCCAGGCAGCACACCUUUCUGGAUUUACCAAAAAUACACAUUUUCCUAUUCUACUGUUGCUUUACCACAUGGUUCAGUUGUAGCCUCAGAAUUACUUUAUAGAAGAAACUGAGUGUAGACAGAGAGUAUGAGGUCUGAUGGUCAUGGAAUAAUUGUUUUGAGUCCACAGCAUCAUGGGAACUUCUUGGGAAUAGAGUCUAGGCUCCCAGUGCUGUUAGUCUUACCCAUCCUCCUCUAUGCAUGUGAGAUGUUUCAGGAUUCAGUGGCCUUUGAGGAUGUGGCUGUGACCUUCACCCAAGAGGAAUGGGCUUUGCUGGAUCCUUCCCAGAAAACUCUCUAUAGAGAUGUGAUGCAAGAAACCUUCAGGAACCUGGCCUCUGUAGGGAAAAAAUGGAAAGCCCAGAACAUAUAUGUAGAGUACGAAAAUCUAAAGAGAAACCUAAGAACUUUUGUGGGAGAGAGACUCUUUGAAAGUAAAGAAGGUCAUCAGCAUGGAGAAAUUUUGACCCUGGUUCCAGAUGACAUGCUGAAGAAGAAAACAACUACUGGAGUAAAAUCGUGCAGAAGCAGUGUGUAUGGAAAAGUAGGCAGUGCUCAUUCAUCUCUUAAUAGGCCCAUCAGAGAUGACACUGGACACAAGGCAUAUGAGUAUCAAGAAUAUGGACAGAAACCAUACAAAUGUAAAUACUGUAAAAAACCUUUCAACUGUCUCACCUCUGUUCAGACACACGAAAGGGCUCAUAGUGGAAGGAAACUCUAUGUUUGUGAGGAAUGCAGAAGAACAUUUAUUUCCCAUUCAAGCCUUCAAAGACACAUGAUAAUGCACAGUGGAGAUGGGCCUUAUAAGUGUAAAUUUUGUGGGAAAGCUUUGAUGUUUCUCAGUUUGUAUCUUAUCCACAAACGGACUCACACUGGAGAGAAACCAUAUGAAUGUAAACAGUGUGGGAAAGCCUUUAGUCAUUCUAGUAGCCUUCGAAUACAUGAAAGAACUCACACUGGGGAAAAGCCUUAUGAAUGUAAUGAAUGUGGGAAAGCAUUCCACAGUUCCACAUGCCUCCAUGCUCAUAAAAGAACUCACACUGGGGAGAAGCCAUAUGAAUGUAAACAGUGUGGGAAAGCCUUCAGCUCUUUCCAUUCCUUUCAAAUACAUGAAAGAACUCACACUGGGGAGAAGCCAUAUGAAUGUAAGGAAUGUGGAAAAGCCUUCAAGUGUCCCAGUUCUGUUCGAAGACACGAAAGAACCCACUCUAGGAAAAAACCCUAUGAAUGUAAACAUUGUGGGAAAGUAUUAUCUUAUCUUACCAGCUUUCAGAACCACCUGGGAAUGCACACUGGAGAGAUAUCUCAUAAAUGUAAGAUAUGUGGCAAAGCCUUUUAUUCUCCCAGUUCACUUCAAACACAUGAAAAAACUCACACUGGAGAGAAACCAUACAAAUGCAACCAAUGUGGUAAAGCCUUUAAUUCUUCCAGUUCCUUUCGGUAUCAUGAAAGGACUCACACUGGAGAGAAACCUUAUGAGUGUAAGCAGUGUGGGAAAGCCUUCAGAUCUGCCUCACUCCUUCAAACGCAUGGUAGGACUCACACGGGAGAGAAACCCUAUGCAUGUAAGGAAUGUGGAAAACCAUUUAGUAAUUUCUCUUUCUUUCAAAUACAUGAAAGGAUGCACAGAGAAGAGAAGCCAUAUGAAUGUAAGGGUUAUGGGAAAGCAUUCGGUUUGCCCAGUUUAUUUCAUAGACAUGAAAGGACUCACACUGGAAGGAAAACCUAUGAAUGCAAGCAGUGUGGCAGAUCCUUCAAUUGUUCGAGUUCCUUUCGAUAUCAUGGAAGGACUCACACUGGAGAAAAACCCUAUGAAUGCAAGCAAUGUGGAAAAGCCUUCAGAUCUGCCUCACAGCUUCAAAUCCACGGAAGGACUCACACUGGAGAGAAACCUUAUGAAUGUAAGCAGUGUGGGAAAGCCUUUGGAUCUGCCUCACACCUUCAAAUGCAUGGAAGGACUCACACUGGAGAGAAACCCUAUGAAUGUAAGCAGUGUGGGAAAUCUUUUGGAUGUGCCUCGCGACUUCAAAUGCAUGGAAGGACUCACACUGGAGAGAAACCGUAUAAAUGUAAGCAAUGUGGGAAAGCUUUUGGAUGUCCCUCAAACCUUCGAAGGCAUGGAAGGACUCACACUGGAGAGAAACCGUAUAAAUGUAAGCAAUGUGGGAAAGACUUUAGAUGUUCUUCACAACUUCAAGUGCAUGGAAGGACUCACUGCAUAGACACCCAUAACCCCAGGCUUUAGGAGGCUGAGGUGGGAGGACUGCUUAAGCCUAGGAGUUCAAGACCAGCCUGGGCAAAAUGCUACCAAACAGGGAAGGGCCCCCUGUCCGGUGGACACGUGACUCGCGUGACCUUACCUAUCAUUGGAGCUGGCUCACACUUCAUACCGUCCCCCCUUGUCUUGUAUCCAAUAAAUAACAGCGCAGCCAGACAUUCGGAGCCACUACCGGUCUCCACAUCUAAGUGGUAGUGGUCCCCCGGGGCCAGCUGUCUUUUCUUCUAUGUCUUUGUUUUGUGUCUUUAUUUCUACCAUCUCUCAUCUCCGCACAUGAGGAGAAAAACCCACAGGCCCAGUAGGGCUGGACCCUACAACUGGCGCUCCAACGUGGGUUUCUCCCUCACUGUGUGAAGUUGCGCUUUGAGCGCAGGACUCAGCAAAGGAUUUCAACCACAGAUUCCUGAGGAUUGUGGUCAAUAAGCUUGGUGGUAAGCUUGGGCACUCAGAGUAUCCCGGGGACACCAUGGGACUGGCCAGUACUAAGUACUCAGCUUAUUUAAACUUUAUAAAAACUCUCCUUAAAGAAGGAGGUGUAAAAGUUUCUACUGAUAAGUUAAUUGAAUUGUUUGAGGUUGUAGAUCUUCCUUGCCCUUGGUUUCCAACUGAGGGAACUUUAGAAUUUAAAGAUUGGGAUGAGAUUGGCAGACAAUUCAAAAUUGCUCAUAAAGGGGGACACGUUAUUCCGCCCACUAUUUGGCCAAUCUGGGCUUCGGUUCGCUCUGUCCUAGACUCCUUACAGACUCAGGAGGGCAACAUGGAGACUGAUCCCUUUCCUCUCCUCUAAGGAGGCUGAGGAAGUUCUCAGUUCUCUUUCCCCUGAGGAUACUGCGCAGAUUGAGGCCGUAAUUCUACAGGUGGACUUCCACUCUGACAUUCCUGUGCCACCGCCGCCUACUGCAGAGCCUGCUGCGCCCCCAUUAUCGCUUUAUGAUGAACUUUUAACUGAUCUCAAUGAGCUUAUUUCCCCCAACCAGCAAAAUCCAGCUGAAACAUAUUAUCAACAGCCUUCACGGUCAGACCCUCCUACCUUUCCUCACACUCUCAACUCUCCAGCUAUGCAGAUAGAAGAUGACAUGAUGCAGCCUGAAAAAGGGGCUCUAAACUGUUUCCAUGCAGCCUGAUACAGAGGCUCCGAUUUCUACACAGCCUGGUGAAGAGGCUCUCAAUUCUUGGCCCGGUAAUGAGGCCCUCAACCCUAUCUCUGUUCACCCUGCUGUAGGGUUCUCAACCUUCUGCUGUUCCGCCCAGUAACGAGACCCUCAACCCUAUCUCUCCGCAGCCUAGUUUUUCAUUUCUCAUGCCUGUUUCUCUUUCGGCAACUC